UACGUAGGUGGCAAGCGUUAUCCGGAAUUAUUGGGCGUAAAGGGUGAGUAGGCGGUUAAUUAAGUCUGAAGUUAAAGGCAGUGGCUCAACCAUUGUAUGCUUUGGAAACUGAAUAACUAGAGUAUGAUAGAGGUCGGUGGAAUUCCACAUGUAGCGGUGAAAUGCGUAGAUAUGUGGAGGAACACCAGUGGCGAAGGCGGCCGACUG
Molecule: ribosomal RNA, 207 nt
Filed under: uncultured bacterium
Lineage: Bacteria
Description: partial 16S ribosomal RNA
Rfam family: Bacterial small subunit ribosomal RNA
Source: RNAcentral